RNAcentral lists this long non-coding RNA (723 nucleotides) under Homo sapiens (human). Its description in RNAcentral is "long intergenic non-protein coding RNA 1968". Lineage: Eukaryota; Metazoa; Chordata; Mammalia; Primates; Hominidae. The record is from RNAcentral.
GCACUGGUCCACGGUGACCCCAAGGAGGACAUGAUCCCCCUUGUCUGGGAGGACUGCAGGCAGGACAGUCCUCUUCCCGGGCUCACCGCAACAUUCAGUAGCUGCUUUGAAGGAACAGAAUAAGGUUGCCACAUGCCAGUCUGUCCUCCGAUCACUUCAGGGUUCCACUCACCGUGGGUUCAAGGCUUCUUUGAUUCUUUGUUUCCUUUAGUUUUCAUUCUCUCCUCUUCAGAACAAGAGUAGAUGGUUCGGUGUAUGCAAAUAUCACAGUUCCAGAAACCCACACCUGUGACUGAUGGGAGUGGUGGACAAAUACCCACAACUUCCUCUCUCUACUCUUGGCUGAGGACAAUUCUGAAGUGAGCCCUACACUGUCUCCCAGAUGCAGUCUGACCUGAGCCAUGAAGAAGUGCAGAGUCCCCAAGAGGCCAGAGAGCUCACGUCUGGUUAGAGUCGGGGUGUUUGAUGGGAAGAUGAAAGGAGGAGCUGGCAUCUGAGGAAAUCAACAUUCAAGGGGAGACCCAAUGAAGAAGAUAGUGCCAGAACUUAAUGGAGGCAGCCCAAGAGGAACGUGUACCUGGGGAAGUCAAGAGCUAUUUCUUGGACAUUUGUGCCUCUAUUCCAAACUCUUCUCUCAGAGUAGAUGACAACUCAGGAAGGAGCCAGAGAUCUUCCUCAGUUGACUUGUUCAGAAAUAUGAUUUGGGAUUCAGUCUGGCCCGAA